RNAcentral lists this long non-coding RNA (332 nucleotides) under Vigna radiata. Its description in RNAcentral is "long non-coding RNA (VRAD_LNC009874)". The record is from RNAcentral. Lineage: Eukaryota; Viridiplantae; Streptophyta; Magnoliopsida; Fabales; Fabaceae.
GGAGUCCUCCUGACUCUCAUCAUCUGCAUCCUCAAAGUUCUCUUCCUCAGUAUUCGGAGCUCUAGCUGCUCCGAACCCACUACUCUGCGCCUGCUGCUCAGGCCAUGCCACAGUUGUAUGAAACUCGUCCAUAGUCCACCUGUGUACAGGUGGCUGGUCAUAAAGUCCAAUGAUCAUCUCAACAGUAACCACCUGCCCUCUGUGAAGGGCCUCUAUCCGGGCCUCCAUCAUGGACAUGUACAUGUCCCUCAUCUGGAAGGGCUCCGCGUGCUGAACUGGUACCUCAUCGGGCACCUGCUCCUGCUGAGCUACAGCUCUCCUACGACGCCUCC